Molecule: ribosomal RNA, 427 nt
Filed under: uncultured archaeon
Lineage: Archaea
Description: bacterial SSU rRNA
Rfam family: Archaeal small subunit ribosomal RNA
Source: RNAcentral
UACCAGCUCUCCGAGUUGUAGGGAUGAUUAUUGGGCUUAAAGCGUCCGUAGCUGGCUUAGCAAGUCUCCUGUUAAAUUCAGCGACCUAAUCGUUGAGCCGCGGGAGAUACUACUAGGCUAGGAGGCGGGAGAGGUCGACGGUACUUUCGGGGUAGGGGUGAAAUCCUAUAAUCCCGGGAGGACCACCAGUGGCGAAGGCUGUCGACUAGAACGCGCUCGACGGUGAGGGACGAAAGCUGGGGGGAGCGAACCGGAUUAGAUACCCGGGUAGUCCCAGCUGUAAACUAUGCGGGCUAGGUGUUGGGGUGGCUACGGGCCACUUCAGUGCCGCAGGAAGCCAUUAAGCCCGCCGCCUGGGGAUACGGCCGCAAGGCUGAAACUUAAGGAAUUGGCGGGGGAGCACCACAAGGCGUGAAGCUUGCGGUUC